CCAGACUCUACACGGCGAGGAAGAUCUGUUAAAGAUUAAAAUUUGGUGAGGGUAAAGAAAGUUAUGACGCAAGGCGGACGGUUCAGUUAACCAUAAAUUUGACACGUGUCGUCCUUGAUCCUGGAUCAAGCGACUGUAAAGAAUCCGGCUUGCAGUAUUUAAAGAAUCAUCCGGUAAUUUCUUCUCCCACAUCUGUCUUUUCACUUUCAGAGUUUUGAGAUCAAAAAAGAGGGACCUGUUAGCGCUUCCACCUAGAAUUCAAUCUCCGCUCCUCAGUUCUUGAUCUGAUCAAGUUUUCCUUUUGAGUAGUUGAGUGAUUUGAAAUCACAUCUUCUAUUAGAAUCAGCGUGCUUUGAAUUCUGGCUUUUGAUCUUCUUGUGUUUAGAUGUACAUGUCGUUUGUUUUUUGUCGUGAUCUGUAGCGAGAUCGAAUAGAUCGGAAUCCUGUUUUCUCUUAUUAAUGUUUUGUAUUUCGGAAAUUGGAAUCUGGAAUCUCGAUGAGUGUUCUUUUUGUGUUCAUCGUCCUUGAUCUUGUGGUGGGUGCUGAAAAUCACACUCAUGUUUGUAAAGUUUGAUGAAUAAGAAAAAUAAAGCUUCACACAAGAAACGAAAAGCACAGAGCAAAAAAUGCAGAAAGGCAAAGUAAAAUGAAGAAUGAAGGUGAAAGAAAACAGCUUGUAUUGAUAGUAGAGGUAAUUGUACAGCAAAAGAUGAUGAUUGAUUCUCCCAGAAUUGCAGUACACCAAAAUAUAUAAAGGACAAAAAACUGCAGACUUGUUCUCCAAAUUGAUUAUGAAUUGGGCAUGUAGAUAUGGACUGGGCCUGCUGCACUGGGCCAACUAGGAUAUGAUCUAUAUUAUUCUUAACAGUGGGAACUUGAAAAGUCAUGGAAAAAUAGGGUUUUGAUCUGUUUUAUCCCUUUUUGUUUCCUGUGUUCGUGUUUAUGUCAUUAUUUGUUUUGAUGACAUGUCGUUCCUGCCUUUUGUUUUGUUUGUUGAUUCUUUUUAGCAGAAAUGUCGUGCGAAAGGGUGACAAGAAAUUUGAUUAGCAAUCUGGAUAAGCCCCUCUUUGUGCCUCCUGUGCGAGAAUGGCCUAUUCCGCUGGGAGUUGAUCUCGAGUUGAGUUUGCGUCCGCCCGGAUCUGUCCCUCAUACCCCUGAGCAUCCUUUGGAUCCCUCUAGGCGUGUCUUUCGUCGUGGUAGAGGUCGAGGUCGGGGUAGGGGCGAUCUCAAGUUUACGCUCGUGUGCGAAAUGAGGUUACGCAUGCAACUGUUGUUAACCACAGAGCCAUUGGUGCGCGGCCUGACCAACCAAAAGGAUGGCUAGAUCGAGCGACCGUUGUUUUUCAGGGUGCUAGAGCUUCAAAUGUUCGUCCCAUCCCUUUAGAGUAGGAUUUAUAUUUUGAGGGGUGGAGAAUUUUUGUUAGCAAUCAUGCGGAAAGCAAUUUUAAUCCAUUAUGAUUGCAUCUUUGUAUUCCUGUUUCGAAAUGCUAAUAAAAGGUAAUAGCUUGUUUUUGCGUUUGCGUUGUACUGUUGUCCCAAAGUCUUCAGGAAAGUGAGUCGUCACUUAAAUUGUAUCAGGGAAAGAGUCCCCCAGUGUCGUGAUCAAUUUGUCAUGUUCUUGUGCCAAGAAUAAUUCUUGAAUUAAAUUUGAAAUUUGCGAGUGUGAU
RNAcentral lists this long non-coding RNA (1667 nucleotides) under Fragaria vesca (wild strawberry). RNAcentral describes it as "long non-coding RNA (FVES_LNC000912)". Lineage: Eukaryota; Viridiplantae; Streptophyta; Magnoliopsida; Rosales; Rosaceae. The record is from RNAcentral.